Molecule: long non-coding RNA, 3239 nt
Organism: Pongo pygmaeus (Bornean orangutan)
Lineage: Eukaryota; Metazoa; Chordata; Mammalia; Primates; Hominidae
Exons: 7
Source: RefSeq, a predicted model, not a curated record
GGAAACCCCCAUGAGACUACAGGUGUGAAGCAAGAUAGAAUCAUCAGUGCAAAAGAGUCUCUUCCAGGGUGAAGGAUGGACUUUGGUGUGUUCUCUUUUGUACAUGCCUCAGUGAGAUGCACAAAGCACAACUUGGUCAGAUUCACAGAGGCUCUCGUCUCCUCUAACUCUUCCUGACUCAGUACUGCAUUUCCAAAUAAAGCCACUCACAAUCUUUAAUCAGGCUGUAAAUUUUAAGAAAUCUGGACCAAGACAGUUUGCUCCAAGAGUAUCCCACAAAUGCAGAUCUUCAGAGUGAGAUUUUAAUAUUGGAUUGCUCACCUGUCUGUUGGUUCCUCUAAUCUGAUGGGACACUCCCGUAAUGAUGCUUCAGCUGUAUUUUAACCUCAAGAAACCCUAAGAUCCCUCACUCCUAUGCUGCUGUCAACGGGAGGCUAAGAAGCACAGAGAAAUAGGCCAUACAAAGUCUACCUCUCUGAACACUCUGGUUUGUUGAGAUGACAGAUGGUUAAGUCUCUCUCUGACAUCAAGAGAUAGAGCCAAAGUUAUCAUGGAAUUGUUUCUUUUGGAAUGUCAAGUUUAUGUGCACCGUAUCGCUCUUCUGAAAUGGACUCAAGAUUCAGGGUCUCAUCUCACUUUUGAUUUAACUACACUCAUAUUCAUCCAUGUGUGAAAAAUGGUGUCAUACUAGAAAGCUUGUUCUUACUGUUUCCUUGCAUAUCUGAAUACCUGCAUCACAUUCAAAUCUAACUCACUGCCUUAAUUUAAUAGCUGAAAGAAACACUGAACAAGUCACACUCCUGCAAGGGCAUGGAACACAGAAUGGCAAGUAUAUCCACUAGGAUUGUAUUUUUCUACAAGAAAUAGACAGCCUGGCAAAUGGUGGCCUAAAUUACUAAUCAGUUUAUUUUAUUCUUGUACAUAAGUUAGCAAACCAUGAUUGGUCUCAAGGAGCCAUCAAAAUCCAAUUUCCUUCAAGCUUUUUGCCUAGCCUUCCUUCACAUAUAGCUCCAUUCUCCAGUUUUCCCCCAUGAACUUGGUAAAAACAGAUUUCAAAGUUCAAACCCGAAAUAUAAAUAAUUAUUCAGGAAUAUCUUAACCAAUUUAUUUCAUGUAUAGUUUGUAGUUUUAUAAAUGCACAGCUUUGGGAGGCCAAGGCGGGUGGAUCACGAGGUCAGGAGAUUGAGACCAUGCUGGCUAACAUGGUGAAACCCAGUCUCUACUAAAAAUACAAAAAAUUAGCCAGAUGUGGUGGCCGGCGUCUGUAGUCCCAGCUAAUCGGGAGGCUGAGGCAGGACAAUGGCGUGAACCCGGGUGGCGGAGCUUGCAGCGAGCCGAGAUCACGCCACUGCACUCCAGCCUGGGCGACAGAGAGAGACUCUGUCUCAAAAAUAAAAUAGAAGCACAGAAGUAUUAUGCGAUAAAAUUCCAUGAAAAUGUAUCUUUCAGUAAGUAUAAAGUAAAAUACCUGUGAUAAGAAAGCGUGUACCAUGGUUGAACUGGCAGUGUAUCUAUCUUUUAUUCAUACUUCUUAAUAAUGGGCAUUUUCUUUGGUGUGUGUAUGUGUAUGUAUAUAUCCCCUAUCUUGUGCUUAUGUAGUCUUGAUUAAUUAUUCAAGGCAUCACAGAAAGCAGUAGAUACUGUUUGAAGUAUCUUCAAACAGUAUUUUUGAAUUGAAGAAUUGCUUUGCAAUUCAUAUAAAGCACGUAGGUACCAGGAGUUUAAGUAACAAAUAUAAAAAGAUUAUCUGGAGCAAUUCUCAAAGCCUUUACUAUGUGAAUGCACAUGCAGAAUUUACAAGAUGACAUUACAGUAUUCAGCAUUUUCCAUGAUCCAUAUUUCACCAUGAACAUUUUUUCUUGCAGAUUCUCUUACUGAGAUACCUUGGAACAUGGUUUGAAUAAUACUGCUCUAACUUCUUUCAUGUCAGGAAGCUCUGAUUUGCCAUAGACUCGUGGAAAUGCCUGCUACAUACACGCGUGUUGAACAAUGAACUUCAUAACUGACAUAUUUAUCAGAGAAUCAGGAGGAGAGAAGAUGCAGAGACACAGAAAGGAAGAGGAUUAGCAACUUUCCCAGAUCUGAGUUGAGCUGAGGUUUGAGUCAAGGCAAUGUUGCUUCUGGGGCUGUAACAACUACAUUUUAUUGUCUCCUAAACAGAUACUUCCUUUUCUUACUUAAUAAGAAUAGACCUUGGAGGUCUGGACCUGGACAUGAACAUACACUUUUCUAAAGAAGAUAUACACAUGGCCAACAAGCAUGUGAAAAAACGCUCAAUAUCACUGAUCAUUAGAGAAAUGCAAAUGAAAACCACAAUGAGAGACCAUCUCACACCAGUCAGAAUGGCUACUAUUAAAUACUCAAAAAAUAACAGAUGCUGGUGAGGUUGCAGAGAAAAGGGAACACUUCUUUUACACUGUUGGUGGGAGUGUAAAUUAGUUCAACCAUUGUAUAAAGCAAUAUGUCAAUUCCUCAAAGAGCUAAAAAAGAACUACCAUUGGACCCAGCAAUCCCAUUACUGGGUAUAUACUCAGAGGAAUAUAAAUCACUCUACUAUAAACACACACGCAUGCAAAUUUUCAUUGUAGCACUACUUACAGUAGCAAAGACAUGGAAUCAACCUAAAUGCUCAUCAAUGACAGAUUGGAUAAAUAAAAUAUGCAUCUUCAACCUUUCUGGACUACAGCACCUGCCAACUGACCCCCACAUCAUGGCUCCAACGCUGGCUUCAUCACAUAUCUUCUCUCUAAGUCCCGUUGGCUCUCAGGGUGAAAUAGCUUAACAAAAUUGCUGAUUAGGUGCCUCAGCAUUGUUUCUUUGUCAUAGUCUCUGUAUUAUCUUAUUUUGAGCCAUUCUUUUCCUGCAAAGAUCCUAACUGAAUGAGAUAAUACCUACCUCAUAAGCUAUUUGUAAGGUUUAAAUGAAUUAAUGCAUAUUUAAUACAUGAAGCUGUGCCUAGUUUAUAGUAAUUACUCAAAAAUAUUACUUAUUUCUCCAUCCAAAACAUACAAACAAUAGUAUAUCCUUCAUGAGGACUUCUUGUGGACUAAAAAGGCAGAAUCUUUAAAGUGCUUUGCAGUCUCUGACAAAACUAUGCUAUUACUCUUACUCAAGGUUUUAAUUGAUUGUAUGUACACAAGGUUAGUUUGUAUGAGCUUUGGAAAGAUGAGAAAUUCAAAGUAGAACAAUGAAGGAAGGAAAGUGUAUGUUCCAUUAAUAAAAUAUAUAUUGGUUCCUGU